UAAUAUUCAUGUCAAUAGAAGUCAUUAUAGGUUGGCAAGAGUAAACAUAACUCACUGAGUCAAUCAAAUCGGCACCACUCCCUCCAUAAUGUUCAUCAGGAAACCAACUUCCAGUAUCAACUACUUGUUGUUUCAUAAACUCGAUGAUCUCGUUGAGUGACCGUAACCGGUGACCGAGCUCGGUCACCCGAGCGGCCAGCACCGAGUUCUCAGCCUCCAAACUCACAUAAUGCUGAGUGAUCAUACCAAUACUGGACACAACUCGGUUGUUCUCGCUCCUGAGUUGACUCAGCUGAGUCAUGAGAUCGUUCAAGUGCUUUUGCUUCUUCAUUCUUGACCUCUUUGCUGAUUCUCUGUUUGAUAUCAUUCUUCUUUGUUCUCUUUGGUCCAUUUGUAACCACCAAACGACGUCGUUGUGCCACUAGAAUUAGCCUUAAAAAUACCAAAAAUAUUAAUAAAAAAAAGAAUCUUGAAAUUGAAGAUUUUGAAGGAGAAAUUAGCAAAGAUUUUAACUUUUUUUCAAGAAACUUGAAAUGGAAGAUUUUGGGGAGAAAUUAACAGGACCCAGAUGAAAAUUAAAGAUUUUGAAGGAGAAAUUAGCAAAAAUAGCAACUUUUUUUCAAGAAACUUGAAAUGGAAGAUUUUGAGGGAGAAAUUAACAGGACCCAGAAGGUAA
Molecule: long non-coding RNA, 676 nt
Filed under: Helianthus annuus (common sunflower)
Lineage: Eukaryota; Viridiplantae; Streptophyta; Magnoliopsida; Asterales; Asteraceae
Description: hypothetical non coding rna
Source: RNAcentral